CCUACGGGUGGCAGCAGUGGGGAAUAUUGCACAAUGGGGGAAACCCUGAUGCAGCGACGCCGCGUGAGUGAAGAAGUAAUUCGGUAUGUAAAGCUCUAUCAGCAGGGAAGAAAAUGACGGUACCUGAGUAAGAAGCCCCGGCUAACGACGUGCCAGCAGCCGCGGUAAUACGUAGGGGGCAAGCGUUAUCCGGAUUUACUGGGUGUAAAGGGAGCGUAGACGGCAGUGCAAGUCUGGAGUGAAAGGCGGGGGCUCAACCCCCGGACUGCUCUGGAAACUGUACGGCUGGAGUGCAGGAGAGGUAAGUGGAAUUCCUAGUGUAGCGGUGACAUGCGUAGAUAUUAGGAGGAACACCAGUGGCGAAGGCGGCUUACUGGACUGUAACUGACGUUGAGGCUCGACAGCGUGGGGAGCAAACAGGAUUAGCUACCCGGGUAGUC
Molecule: ribosomal RNA, 440 nt
Filed under: uncultured bacterium
Lineage: Bacteria
Description: partial 16S ribosomal RNA
Rfam family: Bacterial small subunit ribosomal RNA
Source: RNAcentral